GCAUUUUUGUGUGUCAUCCACGAAUGCAGAGGUGGAUCCAGCGCGUGCUGAUGAGAAUGCUAGUCCAGGUGUUUCCGAACUUUCUGGGGCAGAUGUCAGGAAUGUAAAGAGCACUGCAGUGCGAGGACAAGCAACAUGUCCAUCACCACGUAAUCUAAGUCCUGAAGUGGAGUGUUUAUUUUCACACAGAAAAGUCAUAGUUAAGUAGAGUUUCGCUAUAACAGGAGAGAGCCUACCUGGUUAUUGCUCCCACUUCCUCAGCCCAGGAACAGUGGCAAGGGCUUUCUUCACCCCUUGCAUUUUCAGGGGGCAUUAUCAGUUUUGUGUGUUGUUGCUACCAGUGGGAAGCAGCUGUGGCAAGAGUAAUCCAGUUCCUUUUCAUUCCAGCCUAAAAACAGAUGCACCAAGAGUGGGAGUCAGUGGAUGCCAUAUUAGCCUUUUGCCAUGGGAUAUUGUCUACUUCUCUUAACCCUCCUCUAUCACCUAGGCCUGAUCCAAAUCCUAUUUAACUUCCACAGGGUAUGUCUACAUAGCACACUAAGUCCAGGCUCUGAUUCAGAUUUGAGCCUAAGCCCCCGUUCCAUUCACACACAAAAUCAGUCUAACUCGGGUCAGCAAGCAUAUAGGACCCGGGUUCUAGGAUCCUCCUAUUGUGUUGGGACAGAGCUUGAAUCUCUCUGUGACUCAAGUCCAAGCCCUGUCAUUUUGCAGUGUGGAUACAGCUCAAGCCACAGACCUGAGUCACAAGGUCAGCCUACUUCAGUAUGGAUGCGUUACCAUGGCUAUGAGACUCAUAUUCAGCAAUUGUAAACCCAGGUUUACAAUGGAGUGUGGAUGCUCAGGUCAGUGGUGCUGGAACAAUUUUUAUAGUGGGGGUGCUGAGAGCCAAUGAACCAAACUGUAAACCCUGUAUAUAAUCGAAACCACUUAAAGUCAGCACCCCUAGUUCCAGCACCUAUGGUUCACGUGUGGGCUUGGAAACACACUCUACAAGCACAGGUCUUAUAGACCUGGGCUUACAAUGCAAUAUGGACAUACGCAUAGAUUCCUGUUUGCUGAUCAGGCCCCUAGAGCAGGGGAGUGGGCAGGUGGUAGUCUCUUUGGAAUGCAUCUAUCUGGUAUGUGGGAAAUGCUGUACGCCAGGGGACUUAGCAGAGUGGCAUCUGAGCACACUGAAGUGAAAAAUUACUAUUAAUGGAGUGACGCUUCAUUAUAAGAAAAUUGAAAGACCACAGAAAUGUACUGAUGUAAUUUAGGACUUUCACUCUACUCCACUGGUAACAAUCUUACCUAUAUGCUGCUGCACACGGUUAACUUAAGAUGUGAUUUUAAAUGGAUUUAA
Non-coding RNA from Caretta caretta (loggerhead turtle), 1342 nucleotides. The record is from RefSeq and is a predicted model, not a curated record. Lineage: Eukaryota; Metazoa; Chordata; Testudines; Cheloniidae.